UGUGUGUAAAUUAAUAUACAGUCUGACCUGCCCCCUGAAAUUUUUAAAGGGCCGCGGUAUUUGAACCGUGCUAAGGUAGCAUAAUAAAUAGUCUUUUAAUUGAGGUCUAGUAUGAAUGGUUGGACAGGAAGUAAGCUGUUUUAGUUAUAAAAUUUGAAUUUUACUUUUAAGUGAAAAGGCUUAAAUUCAGUAAUGGGACGAUAAGACCCUAUAAAGCUUUACAUUUUUUUUAUUGGUUGGUAAGAGUAAGGUUCUUUAUUCUUUUUAAGUAAAAUGUUUCGUUGGGGUGAUGGAAAUAUAAAAUAAUAACUGUUUUUUUUUUAUAAAUAGAAUUUUUUAGGGGUAUUGAUCCUUUGUAGAGAUUAAAAGAAGUAAGUUACUUUAGGGAUAACAGCGUAAUUUUUCUUGAGAGUUCAUAUCGACAGAAAUAGUUGCGACCUCGAUGUUGAAUUAAGAUACCUCUUAGGUGUAGCAGUUUUAGUGGUAGGUCUGUUCGACCUUUAAAAUCUUACAUGAUUUGAGUUCAGACCGGCGUA
Molecule: ribosomal RNA, 536 nt
Filed under: Caridina nanaoensis
Lineage: Eukaryota; Metazoa; Arthropoda; Malacostraca; Decapoda; Atyidae
Description: partial 16S ribosomal RNA
Rfam family: Bacterial large subunit ribosomal RNA
Source: RNAcentral